RNAcentral lists this non-coding RNA (19 nucleotides) under Arabidopsis thaliana (thale cress). Lineage: Eukaryota; Viridiplantae; Streptophyta; Magnoliopsida; Brassicales; Brassicaceae. The record is from RNAcentral.
GAGGUCGAGUAGUGGUCUG